Molecule: ribosomal RNA, 406 nt
Filed under: uncultured bacterium
Lineage: Bacteria
Description: partial 16S ribosomal RNA
Rfam family: Bacterial small subunit ribosomal RNA
Source: RNAcentral
AUUGAACGCUGGCGGCAGGCCUAACACAUGCAAGUCGAACGAGUGGCGGACGGGUGAGUAAUGUCUGGGAAACUGCCUGAUGGAGGGGGAUAACUACUGGAAACGGUAGCUAAUACCGCAUACUAUCGGAUGUGCCCAUAUGGGAUUAGCUAGUCGGUGGGGUAACGGCUCACAUAGGCGACGAUCUCUAGCUGGUCUGAGAGGAUGACCAGCCAAACUGGAACUGAGACACGGUCCAGACUCCUACGGGAGGCAGCAGGGGGGAAUAUUGCACAAUGGGCGCAAGCCUGAUACAGCCAUGCCGCGUGUAUGAAGAAGGCCUUCGGGUUGUAAAGUACUGUCAGCUGGGAGGCGUUACCCGCAGAAGAAGCACCGGCUAACUCCGUGCCAGCAGCCGCGGUAAUAC